AGCAGCCGCGGUAAUUCCAGCUCCAAUAGCGUAUAUUAAAGUUGUUGCAGUUAAAAAGCUCGUAGUUGAAUUUCGAGAUCAAAUUGUUGGUCGUGCCUCGGUACGUACUGGUAAUUUUGGUUUCUCCCUUCUGAAGAACCAUGAUGUCAUUAGUUUGGUGUCUUGGGGAAUCAGGACUGUUACUUUGAAAAAAUUAGAGUGUUUAAAGCAGGCUCGCGCUUGAAUACAUUAGCAUGGAAUAAUGAAAUAGGACGUUUGAUUCUAUUUUGUUGGUUUCUAGGAUCGACGUAAUGAUUAAUAGGGAUAGUUGGGGGCAUUAGUAUUCAAUUGUCAGAGGUGAAAUUCUUGGAUUUAUUGAAGACUAACUACUGCGAAAGCAUUUGCCAGGGAUGUUUUCAUUAAUCAAGAACGAAAGUUAGGGGAUCGAAGACGAUCAGAUACCGUCGUAGUCUUAACCAUAAACUAUGCCGACUAGGGAUCGGAUGAUGUUAAUUUUUAAUGACUCAUUCGGCGCCUUACG
RNAcentral lists this ribosomal RNA (520 nucleotides) under uncultured Glomus. Its description in RNAcentral is "SSU rRNA". It matches the Rfam family "Eukaryotic small subunit ribosomal RNA", at positions 569 to 1092 of the family's 1831-position model. The record is from RNAcentral. Lineage: Eukaryota; Fungi; Glomeromycota; Glomeromycetes; Glomerales; Glomeraceae.